Molecule: long non-coding RNA, 1505 nt
Organism: Meriones unguiculatus (Mongolian gerbil)
Lineage: Eukaryota; Metazoa; Chordata; Mammalia; Rodentia; Muridae
Exons: 2
Source: RefSeq, a predicted model, not a curated record
CCCUGCAAAGGAAGGAAAGCUACAAAAGUGAAUCCAGUGCUACACUGGAGAAAUGAUGAAAACUCCCUGUGGAUUCCCAGAUCUCCGCCUUGGAGAGGAUAAUCCUUUAAAAUGAUACAUGGUGGUGAAUGAUCCUUCCCUGGUGAGCGGAGGGAGGGCCCUCUCCGUGGACUAGCCGGGGUUGGAUUGGCUGACAGAGUCCUAGGCUGCUUCUUAUAUGGAUCUGUGUGUGUGUUAUGUACUAGACUGUCCAGUAAGGGAGAUCACAAUGGACAAUGGCAUCCCAGGGGUAAGACCAAGGAACAGCUGUGCAGGGAGGGGAGGUAGAAAAUGCACACUUCCCAUGGGCCCUACAAAAUCCCUGACAAGCAGCUCAGGGACGAGGGCUAACAGUUUGAGGGGAGCACACAGGGGUGAGUGGAUGGUCACAGUGUGAUUAUUCCCGCCUAGACACCCCAGGCCAGGGAAUGGUGCCAGGUGUAUUUAUAGGAUGGGUCUUUCUUCCUGUAGACUGCCCGGGACAGCCUCACGGACACACCCAGAGCCGAGCCUCCUACAUCGGUCUAGACGCAGCCGAGCUGGCAGAGAAGAUUAAUGGUCACUGGCUGCUGCGCCUCCGGCCCACUCGCCCUUUAGCCGGGGCUCUACACACACCACCACCGCCCAGAGGACUACAGAGAAGACAGGCUGAGGAUUAUCUGUGGGAAUGUGCACAUUUACUAAGCUCACGUCCCCCCGGAGACAUACAGAGAGUUCACUUACACUCUAAGCCUGGGGCAUCUGCUGUGAUUCCCUCUGGGGGAGCACGCUUUCUGGAAAUCCUGACCCCUCUGCCUCAGUAUCAUCCAUACAGGCCGGACCUUGUGAACUGUCUCUGAAGAGUGAGUCCUCAAAGGAUGCCAAAUGUAGAAAUGGAAAGCCACAAAGAGCCAAACUCCUGUCCUGACUCAUCUGUAGCUUUUUCAGGGCCCCCCCGCCCCUGACAGGUGUGCAGCGUCUGCUCGGAGGAAGUCAGUUAACUGGGAGGCCGCCCUCCUGACUUGUUCCCUUGUACAGCUUCCCUGAAGAAUGAAUACCAGCCAUCACCACUGACUCCCAGGAACAAAGAGCAGAAGACAAGGACUGUGACAAGACUCAUGGUGCUGCAGGAAUAGGAAGAGAAGUCAAAACAAACCUACAGGCUGGGGGCUGGAGUGGGGGGCACACACCUCAAACCCGGAACUCUCACGGCAGAGGCAGGUAGAUCUCUGAUCCUAAGGCCAGCCUGGUCUACAUGGUGAGGUACAGACCAGCCGGGGUUAGGUAGUAAGUCCCUAUCUCAAACAAACAAACAAAGGCAGACCCACAUUUUGACAAUGGAAAUGCAUUUCUGUUUGUUCAUCCCUGAAUCAUUACUGCUAGGACAGUGAAAAUGGGCUUUAGGAGUCUCCGCCAGACCGCUGGAUAAGCAAGAGUUCCAAGGUAUUUCUGGCUCCCAGCCCAUCUGCACCUAGUGAAGCUGACUA